CCUGGCGGCUGUAGCGCGGUGGUCCCACCUGACCCCAUGCCGAACUCAGAAGUGAAACGCCGUAGCGCCGAUGGUAGUGUGGGGUCUCCCCAUGCGAGAGUAGGGAACUGCCAGGU
RNAcentral lists this ribosomal RNA (116 nucleotides) under Citrobacter freundii. The record is from RNAcentral. RNAcentral also lists the same sequence under 8 other names. Lineage: Bacteria; Pseudomonadati; Pseudomonadota; Gammaproteobacteria; Enterobacterales; Enterobacteriaceae.